This 294-nucleotide unclassified non-coding RNA is filed under the name Legionella dresdenensis. Its description in RNAcentral is "partial RNase P". It matches the Rfam family "Bacterial RNase P class A", at positions 46 to 311 of the family's 367-position model. From Rfam's summary of the family: Ribonuclease P (RNase P) is a ubiquitous endoribonuclease, found in archaea, bacteria and eukarya as well as chloroplasts and mitochondria. The record is from RNAcentral. Lineage: Bacteria; Pseudomonadati; Pseudomonadota; Gammaproteobacteria; Legionellales; Legionellaceae.
GAAAGUCCGGGCUCCAUAGGGUAAAGUGCCAGGUAACUCCUGGGAGGCGCGAGCCUACGGAAAGUGCCACAGAAAAUAUACCGCCUUCCGUAUUAUGCGGCAGGUAAGGGUGAAAUGGUGCGGUAAGAGCGCACCGCGCGACUGGCAACAGGCGUGGCAGGGAAAACCCCACUCGGAGCAAGACCAAAUAGGAAUCUGCCCUGCUUAUGCAGGAACGUAUGACCCAUACGAGAUUCGGGUAGGUUGCUUGAGGUAUGUGGCGACACAUAUCCCAGAUGACAAGAUGUGUAUCCA